AAGGUUUCACAGUCCUGCCCAAGAUGGCCGUCUCGGCUCUGGCACCGCCCCCACUCCUGCCUCUCCCAACAUGGCGACCCUGAGUCUCCGUUCCCGGUGCGGAACGUACGACCGGAAGUGACGGGGCCCAGAAAUUUCCGCUUUCUUUCUGCAGCAGGAACCGCGGCUGCUGGACAAGAGGGGUGCGGUGGAUACUGACCUUUGCUCCAGCCUCGUCGUGAAGACACAGCGCAUCUCCCCGCUGUAGGUUUCCUCCCACAGAACCCGUUUCGGGCCUCAGAGCGUCUGGUGAGAUGCUGCUGCCGCUGCUUCUGCUGCUACCCAUGUGCUGGGCCGUGGAGGUCAAGAGGCCCCGGGGCGUCUCCCUCACCAAUCAUCACUUCUACGAUGAGUCCAAGCCUUUCACCUGCCUAGACGGUUCGGCCACCAUCCCAUUUGAUCAGGUCAACGAUGACUAUUGCGACUGCAAAGAUGGCUCUGACGAGCCAGGCACGGCUGCCUGUCCUAACGGCAGCUUCCACUGCACCAACACUGGCUAUAAGCCCCUGUAUAUCCCCUCCAACCGGGUCAACGAUGGUGUUUGUGACUGCUGCGAUGGAACAGACGAGUACAACAGCGGCGUCAUCUGUGAGAACACCUGCAAAGAGAAGGGCCGUAAGGAGAGAGAGUCCCUGCAGCAGAUGGCCGAGGUCACCCGCGAAGGGUUCCGUCUGAAGAAGAUCCUUAUUGAAGACUGGAAGAAGGCACGGGAGGAGAAGCAGAAAAAGCUCAUUGAGCUACAGGCUGGGAAGAAGUCUCUGGAAGACCAGGUGGAGAUGCUGCGGACAGUGAAGGAGGAAGCUGAGAAGCCAGAGAGAGAGGCCAAAGAGCAGCACCAGAAGCUGUGGGAAGAGCAGCUGGCUGCCGCCAAGGCCCAACAGGAGCAGGAGCUGGCGGCUGAUGCCUUCAAGGAGCUGGAUGAUGACAUGGACGGGACGGUCUCGGUGACUGAGCUGCAGACUCACCCGGAGCUGGACACAGAUGGGGAUGGGGCGUUGUCAGAAGCAGAAGCUCAGGCCCUCCUCAGUGGGGACACACAGACAGACGCCACCUCUUUCUACGACCGCGUCUGGGCCGCCAUCAGGGACAAGUACCGGUCCGAGGCACUGCCCACCGACCUUCCAGCACCUUCUGCCCCUGACUUGACGGAGCCCAAGGAGGAGCAGCCGCCAGUGCCCUCGUCGCCCACAGAGGAGGAGGAGGAGGAGGAGGAGGAAGAAGAGGAGGCUGAAGAAGAGGAGGAGGAGGAGGAUUCCGAGGUGCAGGGGGAGCAGCCCAAGGAGGCCCCACCGCCACUGUCACCCCCGCAGCCGGCCAGCCCUGCUGAGGAAGACAAAAUGCCGCCCUACGACGAGCAGACACAGGCCUUCAUCGAUGCUGCCCAGGAGGCCCGCAACAAGUUCGAGGAGGCUGAGCGGUCGCUGAAGGACAUGGAGGAGUCCAUCAGGAACCUGGAGCAAGAGAUUUCUUUUGACUUUGGCCCCAACGGGGAGUUUGCUUACCUGUACAGCCAGUGCUACGAGCUCACCACCAACGAAUACGUCUACCGCCUCUGCCCCUUCAAGCUUGUCUCGCAGAAACCCAAACUCGGGGGCUCUCCCACCAGCCUCGGCACCUGGGGUUCAUGGGUUGGCCCCGACCACGACAAGUUCAGUGCCAUGAAGUAUGAGCAAGGCACGGGCUGCUGGCAGGGCCCCAACCGCUCCACCACCGUGCGCCUCCUGUGCGGGAAAGAGACCAUGGUGACCAGCACCACAGAGCCCAGUCGCUGCGAGUACCUCAUGGAGCUGAUGACGCCAGCCGCCUGCCCGGAGCCACCGCCUGAAGCACCCACCGAAGACGACCAUGACGAGCUCUAGCUGGAUGGGCGCAGAGGUGGGCGGGGAGGUGGAGUCUCGUCGGCCUGCCCCAGCAAGGGGAGGCGGCGGGCCCUGAGGAAGAUGGACCCACAUGGCCACUCUAUCAACCUGUGUCCCCAUGUUCCCUGCUUUUUUGUUUUGUUUUUUUGAGGUGGAGUCUCACUCUUUGGCCCAGGCUGGAGUGCAGUGAUGCGACCUCAGCUGACUGCAACCUCUACCUCCCGGGUUCAAACAAUUCUCUUGUCUCAGCCUCCCAAGUAGCUGGGAUUACAGGUGUGCACCACCACGCCUGGCUAAUUUUUAGUAGAGAUGGGGUUUCACCAUGUUGGCCUGGAUGGUCUCGAACUCCUGACCUCAGAUGAUCCACCUGCCUUGGCCUCCCAAAGUGCUGGGAUUACAGGCAUGAGCCACCACACCCGGCCAUCUCCUGCCUUUUUUUUUUUUUGGAUGGAGUUUCACUCUUGUUGCCGAGAUCAUGCUACUGCACUCUCCAGCCUGGGCUACAGAGUGAGACUCUCAAAAAAAAAAAAAGAGAAAAUAGACAAGGUCUCCAGGCUGGUCAACUCCUGGCCUCAAAUGAUCCUCCCACCUCAGCCUCCCAAGCAGCUGGGACUACAGGCAAACAUCACCAUGUCCAGCUGUCCCCAGCUUUCUAAUCUGGUCUUUCUCUUGCCCCAGAACCUCAAGAAGGCAUGAAGCCAGCCCCUGCAGUGCCGUCCACCCGCCCCUCUGUCUGGGCCUGCCUGUGGCUCUGUUGCCCUCCUCUGUGGCGGCAGGACCUUUGUGGGGCUUCGUGCCCUGCUCUGGGGCCCAGGCGGGGCUGGUCCACAUUCCCAGGCCCCAACAGCCUCCAAAGAUGGGUAAAGGAGCUUGCCCUCCCUGGGCCCCCCACCUUGGUGACUCGCCCCACCACCCCCAGCCCUGUCCCUGCCACCCCUCCUAGUGGGGACUAGUGAAUAACUUGACCUGUGACCUCAGUACAAUAAAUGUGAUCCCCCACCCAAA
RNA transcript from Pan troglodytes (chimpanzee), 2903 nucleotides. It is a transcript of the gene named PRKCSH beta subunit of glucosidase II, with no coding region annotated. The transcript has 18 exons. The record is from RefSeq and is a predicted model, not a curated record. Lineage: Eukaryota; Metazoa; Chordata; Mammalia; Primates; Hominidae.